UACAGAGGGUGCAAACGUUGCUCGGAAUCAUUGGGCGUAAAGUGCACGUAGGCGGCCUGUUAAGUCGGGUGUGAAAGCCCUGGGCUCAACUGGGGAGGGUCACGCGAUACUGAUCGACUGGAAGGCAGGAGAGGGUAGUGGAAUUCCCGGUGUAGUGGUGAAAUGCGUAGAUAUCGGGAGGAACACCAGUGGCGAAGGCGACUACCUGGCCUGUUCUUGACGCUGAGGCGCGAAAGCUAGGGGAGCAAACGGG
This 253-nucleotide ribosomal RNA is filed under the name uncultured bacterium. RNAcentral's name for it is "partial 16S ribosomal RNA". It matches the Rfam family "Bacterial small subunit ribosomal RNA", at positions 524 to 776 of the family's 1533-position model. The record is from RNAcentral.